Small nuclear RNA from Hippoglossus stenolepis (Pacific halibut), 169 nucleotides. RefSeq annotates it as U1 spliceosomal RNA. NCBI's taxonomy places the organism in Eukaryota, Metazoa, Chordata, Actinopteri, Pleuronectiformes, Pleuronectidae. The transcript has a single exon. The record is from RefSeq and is a predicted model, not a curated record.
AUACUUACCUGGCAGGGAGAUACCAUGAUCAUGAAGGUGGUUCACCCAGGGCGAGGCUCAGCCAUUGCACUUGCAGAAUUUAUAGCAGCUUGUGUUGUCCUGAGACAGCGCCAGGUCAACCGGCUUUUGGCAGACCUAUCAGAGACGGCCAGAGCCACUCUGGCUGUUC